CCUACGGGUGGCAGCAGUGGGGAAUAUUGCACAAUGGGGGAAACCCUGAUGCAGCGACGCCGCGUGAGUGAAGAAGGAACUCGUUAUGUAAAGCUUUAUUAGCAGGGGAGAAAAUGAUGGUACCUGAGUAAGAAGCCCUGGCUAAAUACGUGCCAGCAGCCGCGGUAACACGUAGGGGGCCAGCGUAAUCCGGAUUUACUGGGUGUAAAGGGAGCGUAGGCGGCAGUGCAAGUCUGGAGUGAAAGUCGGGGGCUCAACCCCCGGACUGCUGUUGAAACUGUAAGGCUGGAGUGCAGGAGAGGUAAGUGGAAUUCGUGGUGUAGCGGUGAAAUGCUUAGAUAUCAGGAGGAACACCAGUGGCGAAGGCGGCUUACUGGACUGUAACUGACGUUGAGGCUCGAAAGCGUGGGGAUCAAACAGGAUUAGAUACCCCAGUAGUC
Molecule: ribosomal RNA, 440 nt
Filed under: uncultured bacterium
Lineage: Bacteria
Description: partial 16S ribosomal RNA
Rfam family: Bacterial small subunit ribosomal RNA
Source: RNAcentral